RNAcentral lists this transfer RNA (69 nucleotides) under Pachydactylus griffini. RNAcentral's name for it is "tRNA-Ala". The record is from RNAcentral. Lineage: Eukaryota; Metazoa; Chordata; Lepidosauria; Squamata; Gekkonidae.
AAGACCUGUAGGACCUUAACCCACAUCCACUGGAUGCAACCCAGUCACUUUAAUUAGGCUAAAGCCUCA